GGGCCUAUAGUGUAGCCUGGUANNAACCGCGGUUCGAAUCCGCGUAGGCCCG
RNAcentral lists this transfer RNA (52 nucleotides) under Candidatus Woesearchaeota archaeon. RNAcentral's name for it is "tRNA-OTHER". Lineage: Archaea; Nanobdellati; Candidatus Woesearchaeota. The record is from RNAcentral.